AUGCACCUACGGGGGGCAGCAGUGGGGGAUAUUGGACAAUGGGGGAAACCCUGAUCCAGCGAUGCCGCGUGAGGGAAGAAGGUUUUCGGAUUGUAAACCUCUGUGGACAGGGACGAUAAUGACGGUACCUAUCAAGAAAGCCACGGCUAACUACGUGCCAGCAGCCGCGGUAAUACGUAGGUGGCGAGCGUUGUCCGGAAUUACUGGGUGUAAAGGGAGUGUAGGCGGGAAGGCAAGUCAGAAGUGAAACUUAUGGGCUCAACCCAUCACCUGCUUUUGAAACUGUUUUUCUUGAGUGAAGCAGG
RNAcentral lists this ribosomal RNA (305 nucleotides) under uncultured bacterium. RNAcentral's name for it is "bacterial SSU rRNA". It matches the Rfam family "Bacterial small subunit ribosomal RNA", at positions 333 to 655 of the family's 1533-position model. The record is from RNAcentral.